RNAcentral lists this ribosomal RNA (117 nucleotides) under Candidatus Aenigmatarchaeota archaeon. Lineage: Archaea; Nanobdellati; Candidatus Aenigmatarchaeota. The record is from RNAcentral.
GCUGACGGUCAAAACGGACAGGAAACACCCGUUCCCAUCUCGAACACGGAAGUUAAGAUGUCCGGUGAUGUAGGUUGUACUUUGCGAGAGCAUGGGAACUCUACAACGCUGUCAGCC